AUUGAACGCUGGCGGCAUGCUUUACACAUGCAAGUCGAACGGUAACAGGUCAAGCUGACGAGUGGCGAACGGGUGAGUAAUGCAUCGGAACGUGCCCGGUCGUGGGGGAUAACGCAGCGAAAGCUGCGCUAAUACCGCAUACGAUCUGAGGAUGAAAGCGGGGGACCGUAAGGCCUCGCGCGAUCGGAGCGGCCGAUGUCAGAUUAGGUAGUUGGUGGGGUAAAGGCUCACCAAGCCAACGAUCUGUAGCUGGUCUGAGAGGACGACCAGCCACACUGGGACUGAGACACGACCCAGACUCCUACGGGAGGCAGCAGUGGGGAAUUUUGGACAAUGGGCGAAAGCCUGAUCCAGCAAUGCCGCGUGCAGGAAGAAGGCCUUCGGGUUGUAAACUGCUUUUGUACGGAGCGAAAAGGUCUCCUCUAAUACAGGGGGCUCAUGACGGUACCGUAAGAAUAAGCACCGGCUAACUACGUGCCAGCCGCCGCGGUAA
Molecule: ribosomal RNA, 493 nt
Filed under: uncultured bacterium
Lineage: Bacteria
Description: partial 16S ribosomal RNA
Rfam family: Bacterial small subunit ribosomal RNA
Source: RNAcentral